GGGGACGUGGUGUAGUCUGGUUCAGCACACUGCCCUGUCACGGCAGAGAUCACGGGUUCAAAUCCCGCCGUCCCCG
This 76-nucleotide transfer RNA is filed under the name Elusimicrobiota bacterium. RNAcentral describes it as "tRNA-Asp". It matches the Rfam family "tRNA". Rfam says of the family: Transfer RNA (tRNA) molecules are approximately 80 nucleotides in length. Their secondary structure includes four short double-helical elements and three loops (D, anti-codon, and T loops). Further hydrogen bonds mediate the characteristic L-shaped molecular structure. tRNAs have two regions of fundamental functional importance: the anti-codon, which is responsible for specific mRNA codon recognition, and the 3' end, to which the tRNAs corresponding amino acid is attached (by aminoacyl-tRNA synthetases). tRNAs cope with the degeneracy of the genetic code in two manners: having more than one tRNA (with a specific anti-codon) for a particular amino acid; and 'wobble' base-pairing, i.e. permitting non-standard base-pairing at the 3rd anti-codon position. Lineage: Bacteria; Pseudomonadati; Elusimicrobiota. The record is from RNAcentral.